CUCUAAAAUCCACACCCAGAACGCGCCCAAUCUCUUCUGAUCUCAGAAGCUAAGCAGGGUCGAUCCUGGAUAGUAUUUGAAUGAGAGACAACCUGGAAUACAGC
RNAcentral lists this ribosomal RNA (104 nucleotides) under Microcebus murinus (gray mouse lemur). The record is from RNAcentral. Lineage: Eukaryota; Metazoa; Chordata; Mammalia; Primates; Cheirogaleidae.